GUGGGGAAUCUUCCGCAAUGGACAAAAGUCUGACGGAGCAACGCCGCGUGAGUGAAGAAGGUUUUCGGAUCGUAAAGCUCUUUCGUUAGGGACGAACGUGCUCUUUGUGAAUAAUGAGGAGUAAUGACGGUACCUAAAUAAGAAGCCACGGCUAACUACGUGCCAGCAGCCGCGGUAAUACGUAGGUGGCAAGCGUUGUCCGGAAUUAUUGGGCGUAAAGCGCGCGCAGGCGGGAUAUCAAGUCUGUCUUAAAAGUGCGAGGCUCAACCUCGUGAGGGGACGGAAACUGGUAUUCUUGAGUGUCGGAGAGGAAAGUGGAAUUCCAAGUGUAGCGGUGAAAUGCGUAGAGAUUUGGAAGAACACCAGUGGCGAAGGCGACUUUCUGGACGAUGUCUGACGCUGAGGCGCGAAAGCUAGGGGAGCGAACGGGAUUAGAUACCCCGGUAGUCC
RNAcentral lists this ribosomal RNA (450 nucleotides) under uncultured bacterium. RNAcentral describes it as "partial 16S ribosomal RNA". It matches the Rfam family "Bacterial small subunit ribosomal RNA", at positions 354 to 796 of the family's 1533-position model. The record is from RNAcentral.